Long non-coding RNA from Humulus lupulus (European hop), 191 nucleotides. RefSeq lists it as uncharacterized. The transcript is spliced from 3 exons. The record is from RefSeq and is a predicted model, not a curated record. NCBI's taxonomy places the organism in Eukaryota, Viridiplantae, Streptophyta, Magnoliopsida, Rosales, Cannabaceae.
AAGUGAACUUUAACAGGCCUUCCAACCACUGUUGCAGAUCUUGAGCCUCAUCAGAUUCAUUCAUUCUAUGAAUCGGUUGGUCAUAUGAUUCAUGCAGAAUCUGAUCCUCAGAAGAGGGAUGAGUUUCUACAGAGAUUGAUGGAGCUGCCUAAUCAGAAAUGGGCUGAAAUUCUAGGACAGGCACGCUUAAG